Molecule: ribosomal RNA, 270 nt
Filed under: uncultured prokaryote
Description: partial 16S ribosomal RNA
Rfam family: Archaeal small subunit ribosomal RNA
Source: RNAcentral
UACUAGCGGUCCAAGUCGCAGCCAUUUUUAUUGGGUCUAAAACAUCCGUAGCUUGCUUGAUAAGUUCCUUGUGAAAUUCUGUAUCUCAAGUACAGAGCGCGCAAGAAAUACUGUUGAGCUAGAGACCGGAAGACGGAAGGAGUACGUUCGAAGUAGCGGUAAAAUGUGUUAAUCUCGGACGGACUUACAAUAGCGAAGGCACCUUUCGAGGACGGUUCUGACAGUAAGGGAUGAAGGCCAGGGGCGCAAAACGGAUUAGAUACCCGCGUA